RNAcentral lists this ribosomal RNA (253 nucleotides) under uncultured bacterium. RNAcentral describes it as "partial 16S ribosomal RNA". It matches the Rfam family "Bacterial small subunit ribosomal RNA", at positions 524 to 776 of the family's 1533-position model. The record is from RNAcentral.
UACAGAGGUCUCAAGCGUUGUUCGGAUUCAUUGGGCGUAAAGGGUGCGUAGGCGGUGAGGUAAGUCUGGUGUGAAAUCCCGGGGCUCAACCCCGGAACUGCACUGGAUACUGCUUUACUAGAGUACUGGAGAGGGAACUGGAAUUUACGGUGUAGCAGUGAAAUGCGUAGAUAUCGUAAGGAAGACCAGUGGCGAAGGCGAGUUCCUGGACAGUUACUGACGCUGAGGCACGAAGGCCAGGGGAGCAAACGGG